GAAGGGGAAACUGAAGCAGAAAGAGGUUACUUAAUGGGCUCAAGGUCACCUACCUGAGAAAUCAACUUUUCAGUAAUUGGUCAGUAUGUGGAUUAUCUUGUGAAAGAACAGGGAGUGAAGAACAUUUUUGUGAAUGGCACAACGGGAGAAGGCCUGUCCCUGAGCGUCUCAGAGCGUCGCCAGGUCGCAGAGGAGUGGGUGACAAAAGGGAAGGACAAGUGAGUGGCUGCAUGAGGAUAAAAAUGCCCUUUGGCAACAGCCGUAUUCAGUGAGCCUCUUCCCCAGAGAAUACGCCCUCCCUGCUUUCUGGUCAGAGCCGGGGCUUGAGGUCAGCUGGUGGGAAGAUGAGCAGAGCCCCCGGGAUCCUGGCUGCUUGGAGAAGAGCCCCCUCCCUUUCUGUGCAGAAGGGCAGCCAAACUGCUAGACACACCUGCCACCCAGAGGUUCCGUUGGGAAACUGCUUCUUACCUGUCUACAAGGCCAAUCCCCUCACAGUUACCCGUCCUUGGGCUGAAAGG
Molecule: small RNA, 518 nt
Filed under: Pongo abelii (Sumatran orangutan)
Lineage: Eukaryota; Metazoa; Chordata; Mammalia; Primates; Hominidae
Description: processed transcript
Source: RNAcentral